This 320-nucleotide long non-coding RNA is filed under the name Daucus carota (carrot). RNAcentral describes it as "long non-coding RNA (DCAR_LNC004744)". The record is from RNAcentral. Lineage: Eukaryota; Viridiplantae; Streptophyta; Magnoliopsida; Apiales; Apiaceae.
CUGAAGUUACAGAGUUUUGUGGUGGUGCUGGUGGUGAAGUUAUAGUUUGUUCUGGUGGUGGUGAAGUUAAAGGCUGUUCUGGUGGUGGUGUAGCUAUAGGCUGUUCUGGUGGUGGUGUAGCUAUAGGCUGUUCCGGUGGUGGUGUAGCUAUAGGCUGUUCCGGUGGUGGUGUAGCUAUAGGCUGUUCCGGUGGUGGUGUAGCUAUAGGCUGUUCUGGUGGUGGUGAUGUUAUAGAUUGCUCUGGUGGUGGUACAGGUUUUGAUGGUUUCGGUGGUGGUGAAGCUCUAGAUUGUGGUGGUGGUGUUGCAGCUACAGAUUGU